Molecule: ribosomal RNA, 459 nt
Filed under: uncultured bacterium
Lineage: Bacteria
Description: partial 16S ribosomal RNA
Rfam family: Bacterial small subunit ribosomal RNA
Source: RNAcentral
CCUACGGGUGGCAGCAGUGAGGAAUAUUGGUCAAUGGGCGGGAGCCUGAACCAGCCAUGCCGCGUGAAGGCGAGUGCCCUACGGGCGUUAAACUUCUUUUGUGCGGGAGCAAUAAGGGCCACGUGUGGCCCGAUGAGAGUACCGCACGAAUAAGCAUCGGCUAACUCCGUGCCAGCAGCCGCGGUAAUACGGGGGAUGCGAGCGUUAUCCGGAUUUAUUGGGUUUAAAGGGUGCGUAGGCGGCGCUUCAGGUCAGCGGUGAAAUACCGGGGCUCAACCCCGGGGCUGCCGUUGAAACCGGAGCGCUAGAAUUCCGAUGCCGUCGGAGGAAUGCGUGGUGUAGCGGUGAAAUGCAUAGAUAUCACGCAGAACUCCGAUUGCGAAGGCAGCAUACCGGCGCUCAACUGACGCUGAGGCACGAAAGCGUGGGGAUCGAACAGGAUUAGAUACCCCAGUAGUC